RNAcentral lists this transfer RNA (78 nucleotides) under Candidatus Hydrogenedentota bacterium. RNAcentral describes it as "tRNA-Glu". It matches the Rfam family "tRNA". From Rfam's summary of the family: Transfer RNA (tRNA) molecules are approximately 80 nucleotides in length. Their secondary structure includes four short double-helical elements and three loops (D, anti-codon, and T loops). Lineage: Bacteria; Pseudomonadati; Candidatus Hydrogenedentota. The record is from RNAcentral.
GGCCCGUUCGUCUAGUUUGGUCCAGGACACCGCCCUCUCACGGCGGCAACAGGGGUUCAAAUCCCCUACGGGCUACCA